RNAcentral lists this transfer RNA (94 nucleotides) under Tabebuia heterophylla (pink trumpet tree). RNAcentral's name for it is "partial tRNA-Leu". Lineage: Eukaryota; Viridiplantae; Streptophyta; Magnoliopsida; Lamiales; Bignoniaceae. The record is from RNAcentral.
AAAAUCCGUCGACUUUAAAAAUCGUGAGGGUUCAAGUCCCUCUAUCCCCAAAAAAAACCUAUUUGACUCCCCAAAAAAUAUUUAACCUAUCCCC